UGUGUGUACGGGCGAUUUAAUGCGUGUCACGCGUAACUAAAAUAGUUUAAAACGUGCGUAACUGAAAUAGUUUAAAACGCGCGUAACUGAAAUAGUUUAAAACGCGCGUAAUAAGCUCCGAAAGAUAUAGCUCCGACGACAUUAUAUGUGAUAAGAGUUUUCAUUCGACUCGCUAGGGGCCAGCUUUGUUUUUACUCGUGUAGGACCCGUGACGUAGGACAUUAGACCGUUAAUUUCGCGCAAAACGCAUCUCGCAUCGUUUCUCUCGUCAUUUUCGUAAUCGAGUCCCGCCUGCAACAACGAUGGAGCAUCGUCGUUAAUUAGCAUGGACGGCUAUAAUUAACGAAAUCCCGUAACCGCUUUUUCCGAGCGACAGUGGUAAUAGAAAUGGCGAGACUCGUGACGUCACAUUUUUUACGCUGCAAAGUUGCCACGCAUUUGAUAUAUCACUAGUCUUUUCGAGUGACGUAGUCGAGCAUAGCAAGCGUCGUCGGGCAGUUUAACAGUAUUUUACGUUAUUAAAAUCGUUUAAAGUGCGCGUUAAAGCUGAUCGGGAAUGCGAAACAAUGAGCGUGGAUUAGAUUUUUAUUUUGACUCGAUCGUCAUUGUCAUUGCAUUUUCUUGCCGCGAAUUCGAUGGUCGAUUGAAGAUGGCGCCGUGAAAAUCGGGAGUGUCGUUGCAAAGUGACGUGCGAUCUCGUUCGCGAAUAUUAUUUAUCGAAAUAAGUCAUAUAAAGUCACGGGCGAUUGAUCAAUUAUAAUUGACCGCGUUUUUCCGAGUGAUUUGUGUUCGAGUGUUGGGCGAAGAAUUGACAACGGUGAUGAUUGAGCGAGAAGAAAAUUGCGAUCAACUUCCGGGAGUGCAGCCGAGUUCCAUGUCAUGUACGUUACUUGAGUUAUGCUGAUUGCGAGUCGUGCCAAUAUUAUUAUAAUC
This is a long non-coding RNA of Camponotus floridanus (Florida carpenter ant), 933 nucleotides long. RefSeq lists it as uncharacterized. NCBI's taxonomy places the organism in Eukaryota, Metazoa, Arthropoda, Insecta, Hymenoptera, Formicidae. The transcript has 3 exons. The record is from RefSeq and is a predicted model, not a curated record.